Molecule: non-coding RNA, 1372 nt
Organism: Paramuricea clavata
Lineage: Eukaryota; Metazoa; Cnidaria; Anthozoa; Malacalcyonacea; Plexauridae
Source: the annotation of a GenBank genome assembly
ACCAAUCCUGUUGACAGGUUGUUGGAACUGCAUUCCUACAAGUCUGCUGCAGGUUUGUUACAAUUUGUGCGUUUUACGUGUGUAGUAAUGUAUGUGACUAUAUAUUUAAAUGAUGUUUUAAUAAACGUCAACUGAAAACUAUAUCACUUUUAACCUCAUAGGCUGCGCAGAAUUCACAUACAGAAGUGAUCCAACUUCUCAUGACGAACAAUCCAAGUUUAUCAUCAGUGAAAGAUAAAUGGCACAAACUGCCUGUUGAUUAUGUUACUGAAACAAAUAAAGAGCUACAAAUAUUGCUAAAACCUUCGCAUUACAAACCAUAAUGAAGUGUGGAAGUCACAAAACAAUGAGAAAGAAGAAGAGCUGUAGUUAUGUUUUGAUUUGGAUGAUCCUGCUGGACAACAAAUUUGUUUCAGAUAUCGCUUUGAUGUUGAGACAUAAUGAACAAACUAGUCAAGAAGAGUACGAAACUGUGCGCAUGGACUGGUGGUCCGAGUGCCUUUCCAAAUCAUUAAAAUGAAUUAGGAUGUUUACCCCAAACAAAGUUUGCAAGCUGUGAGCAACAUGCACGUGAAUGGCAUUGUUGGUAAAGCUAUUAUUAAUCAUAAUCAGUCAAUUGAAAAUAUAGGACAAAGAAAAAUCAAUUAAUGCUUGUACAUAUAAUGAUAGGAUGAAGAAUGUUAACAAAACUGAAAAUAACCCAAUUCAUAUUAAUUCUGAUGGGUGCAAAGAAUAGCAAAAACCAAAAAGGGGGCAGGUUAAUGUUCAAAAAAGGGAUGGACCAUUAGAAAGUGGGACAGCGGGGAUGGUUCUUUUUAUGCACGAUUUUGCAGUGUCACAGGUUUGGCAAACUAUAUAGUAUAUCCGUUAACAAGCUGUCUGUUGAAUUUCAAAUAUAUCCUUGAACCCAAAAUAUGUCAUCCCUAGCCCUAAAUAUUCUUUUAAAAUGUCAAUUAUCUAAAAGGGGUGUGUCUAUAACAACACCACAUCCCUCCACUCUUUGAUGUAGCUGUUUAUACUUAAAUUCAAACCGUCCAAACUCAACGCAAGUAUCUUUACUGUUUAAUUAUGGGUUAACGAAUAAUUAAUCCGGGUUUAUAGGAUUCCCAUAUUGUUCUCUUUGCACACGUUUUCUAGUUGAUCUUCUCAGCACUGGUGCUUGCACGUCGUUGUUUAUCUCUGUUCUCGUGGAUGCUCGUGCCCCGUGAUCUUCUUCAUCAUCUGAAUCUCCCGCUACACCUUUUAUCUUUUUGAAGAAUGACGCGUCACAAUGUGUUUCUGGUUUUCAGCUACUAUCUUAGUUCUUUUCCGUUCAAUUUUCGUUUUUGGUCCUAGUUCGUAUCUUGUUGUAAAUUUAUUUCUCUUCCUUUAA